GCCCGCUCACCCGGGACGCGGCGGACGGCUCAGGACGACGGUUGCACCCCCCGCGGCGGUCCCUGCUAGCCGGACACCGCUGGCAACCCGGCGCCAAGACGUGCGCGCAAGGGCGGGCGCCCGCGGGCGAGCAGCGUGACGCAG
This 144-nucleotide ribosomal RNA is filed under the name Giardia duodenalis. RNAcentral's name for it is "Giardia intestinalis partial 18S ribosomal RNA". The record is from RNAcentral. Lineage: Eukaryota; Fornicata; Diplomonadida; Hexamitidae.